AUAGUCCAUACGUAAUCCAAGAGCGUGCACUCGUGCACGCGCGCGCCCUCCGGCUUUCCGUACAGGUCUCACGUCGUCUGCAGGGGAGACUGUGAUAACGUGGAGCGAUUUCUUAUAAGAAGUUCCAGGAACUUCGCCUCUGCGACGGCAGAGAUAUUGGGGGUUUCUUAGAUCACACUGAUCAUCACAGCUUCAAAACUAAGAUAUAUACCGACGGGUAUAUGGAGAGAGAGAGAGAGAGAGAUAAUAACGGAAAAAAUAUUUGCUAACGGAAAGAGUCCGGUUCGAGCAAUAAAUAAGUAAAGACAGAAGCGCAAGAGGCGCAGUAUUUUUGCAGCGGGUUAUCAAGUGGCAUGCCCCAUUGACUCAUUCCAUCAUAUCAGCGAAGGGAAGAGAAAACUGUAAGCCCUACCAAAUUGCUGUAUGUGGACUCGCCCUCACAGUUUACAACUAACUACUGACAGAACACUUUGAAGGUGCAUGGAGAAUGAUCCCACAAUGCAUUGCAUUUCCUGUAC
Ictalurus furcatus (blue catfish) is the source of this 518-nucleotide long non-coding RNA. RefSeq lists it as uncharacterized. The record is from RefSeq and is a predicted model, not a curated record. The transcript has 3 exons. NCBI's taxonomy places the organism in Eukaryota, Metazoa, Chordata, Actinopteri, Siluriformes, Ictaluridae.